GAUGAACGCUGGCGGCGUGCCUAAUACAUGCAAGUCGAGCGAACAGAUGAGGAGCUUGCUCCGCUGACGUUAGCGGCGGACGGGUGAGUAACACGUGGAUAACCUACCUAUAAGACUGAGAUAACUUCGGGAAACCGGAGCUAAUACCGGAUAAUAUAUUGAACCGCAUGGUUCAAUGGUGAGAGACGGUGUUGCUGUCACUUAUAGAUGGAUCCGCGCCGCAUUAGCUAGUUGGUAAGGUCAAGGCUUACCAAGGCAACCAGGCGUGGCCGACCUGAGAGGGUGAUCGGCGACCCUGGAACGGAGACACGGUCCAGACUCCUACGGGAGGCAGCAGUAGGGAAUCUUCCGCAAUGGGCGAAAGCCUGACGGAGCAACGCCGCGUGAGUGAUGAAGGUGUUCGGAUCGUAAAACCCUGUUAUUAGGGAAGAACAAAUGUGUAAGUAACUAUGCACGUCUUGACGGUACCUAAUCAGAAAGCCCCGGCUAACUACGUG
RNAcentral lists this ribosomal RNA (497 nucleotides) under uncultured bacterium. RNAcentral's name for it is "partial 16S ribosomal RNA". It matches the Rfam family "Bacterial small subunit ribosomal RNA", at positions 28 to 507 of the family's 1533-position model. The record is from RNAcentral.